GAUGAACGCUGGCGGCGUGCCUAAUACAUGCAAGUCGAGCGAACAGACGUGGAGCUUUCUCCUUUGACAUUAGCGGCGGACGGGUGAGUAACACGUGGAUAACCUACCUAUAAGACUGGGAUAACUUCGUUGAACCGGAGCUAAUACCGGAUAACAUGUUUAACCUCAUGGUUCAACAGUGAAAGACGGUCUUGCUGUCACUUAUACAUUGAUCCGCGCCGCAUUAGCUGGUUGGUAAGGUAACGGCUUACCAAGGCAACGAUGGGUAGCCGACUUAGUAGAGUAACGGCCACAACUGGACUGAGAAACGGGUCAAAACUCUACGGGGGGGAGCAGUUGGGAAACUUUCGGAAAGGAGGAAAAGCCGAAGGGGGAAACGCGGGGGGAGGAAAGAAGGUUUUGGGUUGUAAAGACCUGGUUAUCGGGAAGGAACGAAUGUGUAAGAAAAGAUGCAAGGAUUGACGGUACCGAAACAGAAAGCCACGGCUAACUACGUG
RNAcentral lists this ribosomal RNA (497 nucleotides) under uncultured bacterium. Its description in RNAcentral is "partial 16S ribosomal RNA". It matches the Rfam family "Bacterial small subunit ribosomal RNA", at positions 28 to 507 of the family's 1533-position model. The record is from RNAcentral.